Molecule: long non-coding RNA, 80 nt
Organism: Spea bombifrons (plains spadefoot toad)
Lineage: Eukaryota; Metazoa; Chordata; Amphibia; Anura; Pelobatidae
Exons: 2
Source: RefSeq, a predicted model, not a curated record
CUGGAACUGACCAACAAGAUGAUGUCCCUGCUGACUGGAGAGGUAGAGCUGCACACGUACAGAACGGACGAGCCGACAAA